AGAGUUUGAUCCUGGCUCAGGACGAACGCUGGCGGCGUGCUUAACACAUGCAAGUCGAACGGAAAGGCCCUGCUUUUGUGGGGUGCUCGAGUGGCGAACGGGUGAGUAACACGUGAGUAACCUGCCCUUGACUUUGGGAUAACUUCAGGAAACUGGGGCUAAUACCGGAUAGGAGCUCCUGCUGCAUGGUGGGGGUUGGAAAGUUUCGGCGGUUGGGGAUGGACUCGCGGCUUAUCAGCUUGUUGGUGGGGUAGUGGCUUACCAAGGCUUUGACGGGUAGCCGGCCUGAGAGGGUGACCGGCCACAUUGGGACUGAGAUACGGCCCAGACUCCUACGGGAGGCAGCAGUGGGGAAUAUUGCACAAUGGGCGGAAGCCUGAUGCAGCAACGCCGCGUGCGGGAUGACGGCCUUCGGGUUGUAAACCGCUUUCGCCUGUGACGAAGCGUGAGUGACGGUAAUGGGUAAAGAAGCACCGGCUAACUACGUGCCAGCAGCCGCGGUGAUACGUAGGGUGCGAGCGUUGUCCGGAUUUAUUGGGCGUAAAGGGCUCGUAGGUGGUUGAUCGCGUCGGAAGUGUAAUCUUGGGGCUUAACCCUGAGCGUGCUUUCGAUACGGGUUGACUUGAGGAAGGUAGGGGAGAAUGGAAUUCCUGGUGGAGCGGUGGAAUGCGCAGAUAUCAGGAGGAACACCAGUGGCGAAGGCGGUUCUCUGGGCCUUUCCUGACGCUGAGGAGCGAAAGCGUGGGGAGCGAACAGGCUUAGAUACCCUGGUAGUCCACGCUGUAAACGGUGGGUACUAGGUGUGGGGUCCAUUCCACGGGUUCCGUGCCGUAGCUAACGCUUUAAGUACCCCGCCUGGGGAGUACGGCCGCAAGGCUAAAACUCAAAGGAAUUGACGGGGCCCCGCACAAGCGGCGGAGCAUGCGGAUUAAUUCGAUGCAACGCGUAGAACCUUACCUGGGUUUGACAUGGAUCGGGAGCGCUCAGAGAUGGGUGUGCCUCUUUUGGGGGUCGGUUCACAGGUGGUGCAUGGCUGUCGUCAGCUCGUGUCGUGAGAUGUUGGGUUAAGUCCCGCAACGAGCGCAACCCUUGUUCACUGUUGCCAGCACGUAUGUGGGGACUCAGUGGAGACCGCCGGGGUCAACUCGGAGGAAGGUGGGGAUGACGUCAAGUCAUCAUGCCCCUUAUGUCCAGGGCUUCACGCAUGCUACAAUGGCUGGUACAGAGAGUGGCGAGCCUGUGAGGGUGAGCGAAUCUCGGAAAGCCGGUCUCAGUUCGGAUUGGGGUCUGCAACUCGACCUCAUGAAGUCGGAGUCGCUAGUAAUCGCAGAUCAGCAACGCUGCGGUGAAUACGUUCCCGGGGCUUGUACACACCGCCCGUCAAGUCAUGAAAGUUGGUAACACCCGAAGCCGGUGGCCUAACCGUUGUGGGGGAGCCGUCGAAGGUGGGACUGGUGAUUAGGACUAAGUCGUAACAAGGUAACC
This 1485-nucleotide ribosomal RNA is filed under the name uncultured bacterium. RNAcentral describes it as "bacterial SSU rRNA". It matches the Rfam family "Bacterial small subunit ribosomal RNA". The record is from RNAcentral.